This 433-nucleotide ribosomal RNA is filed under the name uncultured bacterium. Its description in RNAcentral is "partial 16S ribosomal RNA". It matches the Rfam family "Bacterial small subunit ribosomal RNA", at positions 29 to 507 of the family's 1533-position model. The record is from RNAcentral.
AACGAACGCUGGCGGCAGGCCUAACACAUGCAAGUCGAGCGGACCCUUCGGGGUUAGCGGCGGACGGGUGAGUAACGCGUGGGAAUAUGCCCUUCUCUACGGAAUAGUCCUGGGAAACUGGGGGUAAUACCGUAUACGCCCUUUGGGGGAAAGAUUUAUCGGGGAAGGAUUAGCCCGCGUUGGAUUAGGUAGUUGGUGGGGUAAUGGCCUACCAAGCCAACGAUCCAUAGCUGGUUUGAGAGGAUGAUCAGCCACACUGGGACUGAGACACGGCCCAGACUCCUACGGGAGGCAGCAGUGGGGAAUCUUAGACAAUGGGGGCAACCCUGAUCUAGCCAUGCCGCGUGAGUGAUGAAGGCCUUAGGGUUGUAAAGCUCUUUCAGCUGGGAAGAUAAUGACGGUACCAGCAGAAGAAGCCCCGGCUAACUCCGUG